Molecule: ribosomal RNA, 1204 nt
Filed under: Haemaphysalis cornigera
Lineage: Eukaryota; Metazoa; Arthropoda; Arachnida; Ixodida; Ixodidae
Description: 16S ribosomal RNA
Source: RNAcentral
AAACCAUUUUUAAUAAAUUUAAAUUAAUACAUUUAUUAAAUUUUAACCAAAUUAAAACUAAUUGAUCUAAUUUAAUUUAAAAACUGAAAAGGAUAUUUAGUUUUUAUUUAAAAGUAAGUAUUUGUACCUUUAGCAUAAGGGGUUUUUAAAAAUAAAUAAAAAUUUAUUUUUUUCGAAAUCAACUGAUCUAUUUUAAUUAUAUAUUAAUAUGUUGCAAAAUAUUAAUAAAAAAUUAAAUAGAAGUGAAAUUCUUUUCAAAGUUGAAGAUAUCUAAUUUUAUUAAAAAACUAAAAGUUUACUUAUAAAAAUUAUUAUUUAUAAAUUUUAUAAGUAAAUAUUUAAGGGAUAAGCUUUAAAUAUAUUUAUGUAAAUAAACUAUUUUUUUAAGAAGAAAUAAAAUUUUUCUAUUAUUGUUACAAGUAAUUAAUUUUAUAAUGAUAAAAAAUAAAUUUUUAUUAAAUUCUAAAUAAUAACUUUUAAAUUUAAAUAUGAAAAUAUUAGUAAAAUAAGUUUUAUUAAAAAUCUAUUUAAUUUUAUUUUAAAUUUUUAAAUAAAUUUAAAUAACUAGGCAAAAAAUUUUUUUGACUGUUUAAUAAAAACAAUGUAUUUAGUUUUUAAUAAUUAAAUAUCAAUCCUGCUCAAUGAAUAUUAAAUUGCUGUAGUAUUUUGACUAUACAAAGGUAUUGUAAUAAGACUUUAAUUGAGUGCUAAGAGAAUGGAUUAUCAAAAAAAAUCUUUUUUAAAUUUAAUAUUUAAAUUUAUUUUUAUUUGUGAAGAAACAAUAAUAAAAAUUAAGGACAAGAAGACCCUAUGAAUUUUUAUAACUUUAAAUUAAAAUAUUUUAAUUUAAAGUUAUUUAAUUGGGGCGAUCAAGAAAUAUAAUAAACUUUUUUAUAGAAAACUGAUCCAUUAAUAAUGAUUAUAUGAAAUAAAUACUCUAGGGAUAACAGCGUAAUAAUUUUAGAUAGAUCUUAUAGAAAAAAUAGUUUGCGACCUCGAUGUUGGAUUAGGAUACUUUUUUAAUGAAGAAGUUAAAAAAAGAAGUUUGUUCAACUUUUAAAAUCCUACAUGAUCUGAGUUUAGACCGAUGUGAAUCAGGUUGGUUUCUAUCUUAAUUUAAAAAAAUUUUUAAUUAGUACGAAAGGAAUUUUAAAAAAAAAUGAUUUUAUUAAACUCAACAGUUUUUGCAUCAAUUUUUGGAAUU